RNAcentral lists this ribosomal RNA (262 nucleotides) under uncultured bacterium. Its description in RNAcentral is "partial 16S ribosomal RNA". It matches the Rfam family "Bacterial small subunit ribosomal RNA", at positions 92 to 354 of the family's 1533-position model. The record is from RNAcentral.
UUAGUGGCGGACGGGUGAGUAACGCGUGGAUAACCUGCCGUAUACAGGGGGAUAACACUUAGAAAUAGGUGCUAAUACCGCAUAAGCACACGGUUCCGCAUGGAACAGUGUGAAAAACUCCGGUGGUAUACGAUGGAUCCGCGUCUGAUUAGCCAGUUGGCGGGGUAACGGCCCACCAAAGCGACGAUCAGUAGCCGGCCUGAGAGGGUGAACGGCCACAUUGGGACUGAGACACGGCCCAAACUCCUACGGGAGGCAGCAG